This 926-nucleotide ribosomal RNA is filed under the name uncultured delta proteobacterium. Its description in RNAcentral is "bacterial SSU rRNA". It matches the Rfam family "Bacterial small subunit ribosomal RNA", at positions 8 to 916 of the family's 1533-position model. Lineage: Bacteria; Deltaproteobacteria. The record is from RNAcentral.
AGAGUUUGAUCCUGGCUCAGAACGAACGCUGGCGGCGUGCCUAACACAUGCAAGUCGUACGAGAAAUCCUGGGCAACUGGGAGAGUAAAGUGGCGCACGGGUGAGUAACGCGUGGGUAACCUACCCUUGAAUUGGGGAUAACUCUUCGAAAGGGGAGUUAAUACCGAAUAAUAUUUCAAUUCCUGCGGGAGUUGGAAUCAAAGGUGGCCUCUGCAUGCAAGCUAUCGUUUAAGGAUGGGCCCGCGUACCAUUAGCUAGUUGGUAGGGUAAUGGCCUACCAAGGCAACGAUGGUUAACUGGUCUAAGAGGAUGGCCAGCCACACUGGAACUGAGAUACGGUCCAGACUCCUACGGGAGGCAGCAGUGGGGAAUCUUGCGCAAUGGGGGAAACCCUGACGCAGCAACGCCGCGUGGGUGAUGAAGGCCUUCGGGUCGUAAAGCCCUGUCAGGUGGGAAGAAACUUGUGGAUGUUAAUACCGUCCACACUUGACGGUACCAUCGGAGGAAGCACCGGCUAACUCCGUGCCAGCAGCCGCGGUAAUACGGAGGGUGCAGGCGUUGUUCGGAAUUAUUGGGCGUAAAGCGCGUGUAGGUGGUCAGGUAAGUCAGAUGUGAAAGCCUUCUGCUUAACAGAAGAAGUGCAUUUGAAACUGCUUGGCUAGAGUACGGGAGAGGAGAGUGGAAUUCCCGGUGUAGAGGUGAAAUUCGUAGAUAUCGGGAGGAACACCAGUGGCGAAAGCGGCUCUCUGGUCCGAUACUGACGCUGAGACGCGAAAGCGUGGGGAGCAAACAGGAUUAGAUACCCUGGUAGUCCACGCCGUAACGAUGGGCACUAGUGUAGAGUAUUGACCCCUUCUGUGCCGAAGCUAACGCAUUAAGUGCCCGCCUGGGGAGUACGCCGCAGCUAAACUCAAAGGAAUUGACGA